UACAGAGGUCUCAAGCGUUGUUUCGGAUUCAUUUGGGCGUAAAGGGUGCGUAGGCGGCGCGGUAAGUCGGAUGUGAAAUCUCGGGGCUUAACUCCGAAACUGCAUUCGAUACUGCCGUGCUUGAGACUGGAGAGGAGACUGGAAUUUACGGUGUAGCGGUGAAAUGCGCAGAUAUCAGGAGGAACACCGGUGGCGAAAGGCGGGGUUGCUGGGCUGAUACUGACGCUGAGGCGCGAAAGCCAGGGGAGCGAAACGGGG
Molecule: ribosomal RNA, 258 nt
Filed under: uncultured bacterium
Lineage: Bacteria
Description: partial 16S ribosomal RNA
Rfam family: Bacterial small subunit ribosomal RNA
Source: RNAcentral